GGAAGCCCUAAUCUCUUAAGACAAAUGUAAUAUCUCUUCUUCCUCUACUCUCGCCGUCAAAUCUGCAAUGUCAAUCGUCACAGCUAGUCGCCCAUGCCGACUAGGGCAAAAUCGGGGUUAGAUCUGUGUGUUUUAGCCUUAUUAUUGGUUCUCGCAUAUGGUAUUUCCAUUAAAGAAUUCGCAUACCCUAAGUUAACUCCUUCAAAUUUCAAAUCUUUAGAUGCUUCUGGGAGUUUUUGUUCUCUUGUAAUGGGACAUUUAAAGCAGCUAUGUUCAAUCCCGGUGCGCAGGGAAUCAGAUUCUACUUGUGCGUUAUCCACUGGGAAUCCAACACCAUUCUCUCUUUCGCAAAUCGUUAUAUGCCCGUUUCAAAUUCAGGGAUCAUGGUUUGACUGCAAAUGGUAUAG
Molecule: long non-coding RNA, 407 nt
Filed under: Olea europaea subsp. europaea
Lineage: Eukaryota; Viridiplantae; Streptophyta; Magnoliopsida; Lamiales; Oleaceae
Source: RNAcentral